UGGGGAAUAUUGCACAAUGGGCGAAAGCCUGAUGCAGCAACGCCGCGUGAGUGAUGAAGGUCUUCGGAUUGUAAAGCUCUGUCUUUUGGGACGAUAAUGACGGUACCAAAGGAGGAAGCCACGGCUAACUACGUGCCAGCAGCCGCGGUAAUACGUAGGUGGCGAGCGUUGUCCGGAUUUACUGGGCGUAAAGGGUGCGUAGGCGGAUGUUUAAGUGAGAUGUGAAAUACCCGGGCUCAACUUGGGUGCUGCAUUUCAAACUGGAUAUCUAGAGUGCAGGAGAGGAGAAUGGAAUUCCUAGUGUAGCGGUGAAAUGCGUAGAGAUUAGGAAGAACACCAGUGGCGAAGGCGAUUCUCUGGACUGUAACUGACGCUGAGGCACGAAAGCGUGGGUAGCAAACAGGAUUAGAUACCCUGGUAGUCCACGCCGUAAACGAUGAGUACUAGGUGUAGGAGGUAUCGACCCCUUCUGUGCCGCAGUA
This 482-nucleotide ribosomal RNA is filed under the name uncultured bacterium. RNAcentral describes it as "partial 16S ribosomal RNA". It matches the Rfam family "Bacterial small subunit ribosomal RNA", at positions 355 to 853 of the family's 1533-position model. The record is from RNAcentral.